AAGUCAUCCUUGCUACCUACAUGCUAGUGGGAGAAGCAAACUGUUGAUGACAACUCAAGUAGACCACCCUGCCCUUUGCAGUCACUUGGGAACAGUUCCUGACGGCCUUUCAUGCAGAGUACCUCCCAGAGCAUCUCCGAUAUCUGAAGGGGAUGGAGUUUACACACUUGGUUCAGAGGGACAUGACUGUAUCAGAAUAUACUCGCAAGUUCCUAGAGUUGGGUCGAU
This 228-nucleotide long non-coding RNA is filed under the name Carica papaya (papaya). RNAcentral's name for it is "long non-coding RNA (CPAP_LNC003288)". The record is from RNAcentral. Lineage: Eukaryota; Viridiplantae; Streptophyta; Magnoliopsida; Brassicales; Caricaceae.